GCCACCUGCACGGAGCGAGCAGAGUGGCCACUUAAAGUAAUAACAAAGGAAGAGCUGGCUACUGGCAAGGAGCUCCUGCUGAAAUGAUGCUCAGAAGACAAAAUAAUAUACAUUUCCACCUCAAGAAAACUAUCUGAAGGGUAUUCCUCUCCAAUUGCCAUGUGGACGUCAUCAGGCAGUUGAUUAUCUGUCAUUCACAAUCUUCCAGUGUGGCAGCUUUGUCCUGCUCAGCAACACGAGAGUGAGAACAGCAGUGCUACGCCAUACCCAAUCGACUGGGAAUCGGGAGGAAUAAUGGAUUGUGAUGAGCAUAUUCCCAGUAGCACCUAGAGAUCCCAACAGAGAUGGAAACCUCCUUGUGCUAGGCACUGUACAAACACAUAGUGAGAGACAAUCUCUGCCCCGAACUGCUUACAAUCUAAAGAGAGAGUGCAGACAAAGGAUGGGAGAAGAAAGAGAUUAAAUGACUUGGCCAAGAUCAUACAGCAGCUGAAGCCUUGUGUGGGAAAAAAGCUGCCAAGAGUGGGCCCGGUCGAAAGAGACCCUGCAGCACUGGGAGUGGAGAUGUGUUUCCACAGAAUGGGGCCAGGAAGAGCGGAGUGGGAAAGCAAAGCCUGAGGCAGGAAGAGAAGGAAGUAUCCUCAAGAAAAAUGUGGUUUCCCAGAAAAGGAGGGUUUUGAAGGAAGAUAAUGACUGAAUGGAGGGAGGGUCAUUUGCUGGCUCUGGAAGAGGUGGAGUUUAUUGAAUAAUGGCUCUAUUCCCCCAUGACGCUUGGCCACAGUGGACUGGUAUAUGCCUGUAUCUGCUCUCCUCCACACCUCACAGCUGACAGCAGAGAACCUCUUGUCAAUAAGCCUUUUGUCUGAGGUUAUAUUUUACCCAUUGCUUUUGUUUAGUUAUCGUAUUGUUCUGAGUCCUACACUGUAUAAAAUGCUGUGAUUUCAUGUUUUCUUUCUUUUUAAAAUUAAAUUAAUUUUUAAUAUUUAUUUUGUGAGCAUCAAUUCUUCCCCAGUUAUCUAGCAGCUCUGGAAGAUGUCUUUUGAGUUCUUCUUCUCCCCUUAGUAAUGGUCAUAUUGCAGUUGUAACAGUCAUAAUGCGGUUGUUUGACCAAGCUCUUAACUUAAAGAGAUUGUGUGGUUCCAUUUCCUGUUUGCUUUCACCUUGAUUUUUCUCUAAACUCUCUUGGUAGAUGUAUGUCAUUUGAAAUGAAUUCAUGAGCAAACAUAUAACUAAAUAAUAUGGAAGGAAAACUCCAUGCCCCGGUUCACAGAGAAUGUAGACAGUGCUUUGUGCU
Caretta caretta (loggerhead turtle) is the source of this 1294-nucleotide non-coding RNA. The record is from RefSeq and is a predicted model, not a curated record. Lineage: Eukaryota; Metazoa; Chordata; Testudines; Cheloniidae.